This 253-nucleotide ribosomal RNA is filed under the name uncultured bacterium. Its description in RNAcentral is "partial 16S ribosomal RNA". It matches the Rfam family "Bacterial small subunit ribosomal RNA", at positions 524 to 776 of the family's 1533-position model. The record is from RNAcentral.
UACGUAGGUGGCGAGCGUUGUCCGGAAUUACUGGGUGUAAAGGGCGUGUAGGCGGGAAUGCAAGUUGGAUGUGAAAUUACGGGGCUUAACCUCGGGGCUGCAUCCGAAACUGCAUUUCUUGAGUGCUGGAGAGGAAAGGGGAAUUCCUAGUGUAGCGGUGAAAUGCGUAGAUAUUAGGAGGAACACCAGUGGCGAAGGCGGCUUUCUGGACAGUAACUGACGCUGAGGCGCGAAGUCGUGGGGAGCAAACAGG